AGAGUUUGAUCCUGGCUCAGGAUGAACGCUAGCGGCAGGCCUAAUACAUGCAAGUCGAGGGGUAGAGUUAGCUUGCUAACUUGAGACCGGCGCACGGGUGCGUAACGCGUAUGCAACCUACCUUAAUCUGGGGGAUAGCCCGAAGAAAUUCGGAUUAACACCGCAUAAAAACACAGGAUAGCAUUAUCCAAUGUUCAAAUAUUUAUAGGAUUAAGAUGGGCAUGCGUGUCAUUAGCUAGUUGGCGGGGUAACGGCCCACCAAGGCGACGAUGACUAGGGGAUCUGAGAGGAUGACCCCCCACACUGGUACUGAGACACGGACCAGACUCCUACGGGAGGCAGCAGUAAGGAAUAUUGGUCAAUGGAGGCAACUCUGAACCAGCCAUGCCGCGUGCAGGAAGACUGCCCUAUGGGUUGUAAACUGCUUUUAUCUGGGAAUAAACCUAUUUACGUGUAGAUAGCUGAAUUACCAGAAGAAUA
RNAcentral lists this ribosomal RNA (480 nucleotides) under Pedobacter sp. RX196. RNAcentral's name for it is "bacterial SSU rRNA". It matches the Rfam family "Bacterial small subunit ribosomal RNA", at positions 8 to 488 of the family's 1533-position model. The record is from RNAcentral. Lineage: Bacteria; Pseudomonadati; Bacteroidota; Sphingobacteriia; Sphingobacteriales; Sphingobacteriaceae.